This 442-nucleotide ribosomal RNA is filed under the name uncultured bacterium. Its description in RNAcentral is "bacterial SSU rRNA". It matches the Rfam family "Bacterial small subunit ribosomal RNA", at positions 32 to 506 of the family's 1533-position model. The record is from RNAcentral.
AUCAACGCUGGCGGCGCGCUUAACACAUGCAAGUCGAACGAGAAAGGGAGCAAUCCUGAGUAAAGUGGCGUACUGGUGAGUAACACGUGGAUAUCUACCUCUUGGUGGGGAAUAACCUGGGGAAACCUGGGCUAAUACCGCAUAAGUUCGUGAGAAGAAAGGCGCAAGUCGCCGAGAGAGGAGUCCGCGGUCGAUUAGGUAGUUGGCGGGGUAAGAGCCCACCAAGCCAAAGAUCGAUAGCCGGCCUGAGAGGGCACACGGCCACACUGGCACUGAAACACGGGCCAGACUCCUACGGGAGGCAGCAGUGGGGAAUCUUGCACAAUGGGGGAAACCCUGAUGCAGCGACGCCGCGUGAGCGAUGAAGCCCUUCGGGGUGUAAAGCUCUUUCGGCAGGAACGAUAAUGACGGUACCUGCAGAAGAAGCUGCGGCUAACUACGU